AACGAACGCUGGCGGCGUGGAUAAGACAUGCAAGUCGGACGGGAUUACUUUUGGUAGCAAUACCGAAAGUGAUCCAGUGGCGAACGGGUGCGUAACACGUGGGCAAUCUACCGAGAAGUG
This 120-nucleotide ribosomal RNA is filed under the name uncultured bacterium. Its description in RNAcentral is "partial 16S ribosomal RNA". It matches the Rfam family "Bacterial small subunit ribosomal RNA", at positions 29 to 138 of the family's 1533-position model. The record is from RNAcentral.